AUGUAUGGCACCGAGCCCAGUUUGGGUGCCACAACGCUCUGGGAUGACAAGCCGGCGCCGGUCCUCGACAACGAGCAGUGGGACUGGGGCGCGCACACCGCCCGCCUCCGCGAGCAGUUGCUGCAAGCUCAACGCCGUUUCAAGAAGAAGGCGGACCGCCAUCGCACGGAGCGAAGCUUCCAGGUCGGCGAGGAUGUGCUGCUGAAACUGCAUCCAUACGCGCAGUCCCCCGUCGUCAAUCGACCCUGCACCAAGCUGGCUUACAAAUUCUUCGGGCCAUUCAAGGUGGAGGCCAAGAUCGGGAUACUCGCCUACAAGUUGAUUCUGCCGCCGGACAGCCGCAUCCACAAUAUCUUCCACGUCUCCCAGCUGAAGCCGUACACACCCAACUACACACCUGUCUUCGCCGAGCUGCCCAAGCCGCCCGAUCUGUCCAUGGUCGAGACGGCUCCUGUGGAGAUCCUCGACAGACGCAUGGUCAAGCGAGGCAACGCGGCGCUGGUGCAAAUUCAAGUGCAUUGGAACUCCUCUUCGCCCGCAGCAGUGACAUGGGAAGACUACGAGACGCUCAAGCUUCGUUUUCCGACCGCCGCGAUCUGGCGGGGGGCGGCUGGAGCGCCAGGUGACGCUCCUUCUGAUGGAGGGGGAAAUGUCACACCUGCACCUACAAGUGCCACGGUGGACCUGGGUAGCCAAUAG
This 699-nucleotide ribosomal RNA is filed under the name Triticum aestivum (bread wheat). RNAcentral describes it as "partial small subunit ribosomal RNA". Lineage: Eukaryota; Viridiplantae; Streptophyta; Magnoliopsida; Poales; Poaceae. The record is from RNAcentral.